GUGCUCGCUUCAGCAACACAGAUACUAAAAUUGGAAUGAUAUAGAGAAGUUUACCAUGGUCUAUGCACAAGGGAUGACACAGAAAUUCUUGAAGCAUCUCAUAUUUUU
Molecule: small nuclear RNA, 108 nt
Organism: Pteronotus mesoamericanus
Lineage: Eukaryota; Metazoa; Chordata; Mammalia; Chiroptera; Mormoopidae
Source: RefSeq, a predicted model, not a curated record